This 451-nucleotide ribosomal RNA is filed under the name uncultured bacterium. RNAcentral's name for it is "partial 16S ribosomal RNA". It matches the Rfam family "Bacterial small subunit ribosomal RNA", at positions 354 to 796 of the family's 1533-position model. The record is from RNAcentral.
GUGGGGAAUAUUGGACAAUGGGGGGAACCCUGAUCCAGCCAUGCCGCGUGUGUGAAGAAGGCCUUUUGGUUGUAAAGCACUUUAAGCGAGGAGGAGGCUACCGAGAUUAAUACUCUUGGAUAGUGGACGUUACUCGCAGAAUAAGCACCGGCUAACUCUGUGCCAGCAGCCGCGGUAAUACAGAGGGUGCAAGCGUUAAUCGGAUUUACUGGGCGUAAAGCGCGCGUAGGUGGCCAAUUAAGUCAAAUGUGAAAUCCCCGAGCGUAACUUGGGAAUUGCAUUCGAUACUGGUUGGCUAGAGUAUGGGAGAGGAUGGUAGAAUUCCAGGUGUAGCGGUGAAAUGCGUAGAGAUCUGGAGGAAUACCGAUGGCGAAGGCAGCCAUCUGGCCUAAUACUGACACUGAGGUGCGAAAGCAUGGGGAGCAAACAGGAUUAGAAACCCGGGUAGUCC